RNAcentral lists this long non-coding RNA (578 nucleotides) under Cyanistes caeruleus (blue tit). RNAcentral's name for it is "lncRNA (ENSCCEG00000004418.1)". Lineage: Eukaryota; Metazoa; Chordata; Aves; Passeriformes; Paridae. The record is from RNAcentral.
CCCAGCUGAGCCUCUCAGAGGAGGGAUGUGGGUUUGAAAGACACAAUAAAGACUUUUCAAAGCACUGGAGGUGGUUUGUGUGGUACCUGAAGGUGUCACCAGGCAAGCAGGCUCUGCCUGGCAGGAAUGAAAAUGCCUGAAAUGCUGCCUGGGCCCUUCCAGGGAGCUUGCAAGGCACAGACUUGGAACUAUUUCAGCCCAGGGAUUAAAGAAACAUGCUUUGAAAAAGAGGAAUGAUAAAGAAAAAAAGAGAAAUUAAAUAGAAGGUUGGAUUUUUAUUUUUUUUUUUGGUUGGAGCCUGUUUAAAUUACUGUCAGCAGUGUAAAAUGAUGUAAAAUGGAUCAGAGCUGCCAUCUCAAUUUUUAAUGAGAUCCCAUCUGAAACAGGAAGAUCUCAGGCACGUGGUCCAGAUUCAGCCUGACUCUGGGUCCUGUGACAAGGAAGAUGGGAGGAAGAUGUUUCAUUUCAAUAAGCUAAAGGAUGUCAGCAGCUCAGAGCACACUUUGCCAUCAACAUUCUUCACUCCAAUGCCUGAAAUCUCUGGGUUCUGCCUGUGCCACACAUUUGCUACUCCAUGA